RNAcentral lists this ribosomal RNA (253 nucleotides) under uncultured bacterium. RNAcentral's name for it is "partial 16S ribosomal RNA". It matches the Rfam family "Bacterial small subunit ribosomal RNA", at positions 524 to 776 of the family's 1533-position model. The record is from RNAcentral.
UACGUAGGGUGCGAGCGUUAAUCGGAAUUACUGGGCGUAAAGCGUGCGCAGGCGGUUCGCCAAGUCAGGUGUGAAAUCCCCGGGCUUAACCUGGGAACUGCGUUUGAAACUGGGGGGCUUGAGUGUGGAAGAGGGGGGUGGAAUUCCAGGUGUAGCAGUGAAAUGCGUAGAGAUCUGGAGGAACACCGAUGGCGAAGGCAGCCCCCUGGGCUAACACUGACGCUCAUGCACGAAAGCGUGGGGAGCAAACAGG